UUAUCGGAGAGUUUGAUCCUGGCUCAGGACGAACGCUGGCGGCGUGCCUAAUACAUGCAAGUCGAGCGGACAGAUGGGAGCUUGCUCCCUGAUGUUAGCGGCGGACGGGUGAGUAACACGUGGGUAACCUGCCUGUAAGACUGGGAUAACUCCGGGAAACCGGGGCUAAUACCGGAUGCUUGUUUGAACCGCAUGGUUCAAACAUAAAAGGUGGCUUCGGCUACCACUUGCAGAUGGACCCGCGGCGCAUUAGCUAGUUGGUGAGGUAAUGGCUCACCAAGGCAACGAUGCGUAGCCGACCUGAGAGGGUGAUCGGCCACACUGGGACUGAGACACGGCCCAGACUCCUACGGGAGGCAGCAGUAGGGAAUCUUCCGCAAUGGACGAAAGUCUGACGGAGCAACGCCGCGUGAGUGAUGAAGGUUUUCGGAUCGUAAAGCUCUGUUGUUAGGGAAGAACAAGUACCGUUCGAAUAGGGCGGUACCUUGACGGUACCUAACCAGAAAGCCACGGCUAACUACGUGCCAGCAGCCGCGGUAAUACGUAGGUGGCAAGCGUUGUCCGGAAUUAUUGGGCGUAAAGGGCUCGCAGGCGGUU
RNAcentral lists this ribosomal RNA (597 nucleotides) under Bacillus subtilis. RNAcentral describes it as "bacterial SSU rRNA". It matches the Rfam family "Bacterial small subunit ribosomal RNA", at positions 1 to 580 of the family's 1533-position model. The record is from RNAcentral. Lineage: Bacteria; Bacillati; Bacillota; Bacilli; Caryophanales; Bacillaceae.